RNAcentral lists this long non-coding RNA (558 nucleotides) under Chinchilla lanigera (long-tailed chinchilla). RNAcentral's name for it is "lncRNA (ENSCLAG00000025734.1)". Lineage: Eukaryota; Metazoa; Chordata; Mammalia; Rodentia; Chinchillidae. The record is from RNAcentral.
UUUUUCCUCAAAAUAACACAAGUUGCUGACUGCAAAUAACACUGGUAAAGAAAAGCAAUCUAUCUGGGCUCAUUCCAUUUUCCUACUAAGAUGAACAUUAGUUCUUGGAGACACCUUUUACUUUUGCAACUGUUAGGUUUUUCCAGGUGGUUUGCCGUAGUACAUUCAUAAAUCAAAGCAUGUUUCUGACAGAUUUAAAUUGUAUUUUCAGUGUGAGUGGAAAGAGCAAUGGACUAGAAAUUACGGAGACCUGGGUUCUGGGUCUAAGUCCGCCAUGAACAGAGCACGGUACGAGGUGUCUCUUCCGCUUCGACUUCCUCAUUCAUCACGGGCAGAAUCGGAACAGGUAUACCUGCCAGUCAGCAAGAUAGGGAAGAAAUAUGACAAGUUGCAAAGCCCUCAAGGAUUAAGGUUAACGAGAAAAGAAAGGCAUUUAAAAAUUGAAAGAAAAGUUUUGAAAAGAGGGAAGAGUCUCAAAUUCUUAAGAAAUUUGUCAGUAGAAUACCUACACCAAUGCCUUUGAAUAAAUUAACGAACAAUAGACUCCGCAUCUAUGGA